UUACUGCAAGUGCCGUUUACGGGGCAUUUAAUUCUGCAGAAAUGGGUGUGCGUUUAGAACCAAACAAUUGUCCAAGGAUAAACCGAAACUUAAAGAGUCUUUAUUAAUUUUUUCAAUCGCCUGAGAUUAAAUUUAAAGUGUCGGACCUUAAGUUAACUUGUUGACGGAAAAGUCUUUCAUCCCAAGAACCACUUUGUCAGCGCGGUCAGUAUGACGAAUGGCGGGUAUGUCCCAUUCUUUAAUCGGCGGACGACAGACAUGAUUUUUUGUAUGUUUUGGAUCCUGUUUACUUUCCUAGGCCCUGUUAAAGGUGAGACAGCAUGCCAGAUGGCCAUGACACAGUAUUCUUUACCUGGAGCAUCCCUUUGUUACAGUACAUCAGGAACUGGAAAUAGAGUUGUACUGAACGCCUUCGAUGCACAUCACUCCUCC
This is a long non-coding RNA of Saccostrea cuccullata (small rock oyster), 432 nucleotides long. RefSeq lists it as uncharacterized. The record is from RefSeq and is a predicted model, not a curated record. The transcript is spliced from 3 exons. NCBI's taxonomy places the organism in Eukaryota, Metazoa, Mollusca, Bivalvia, Ostreida, Ostreidae.